This 1398-nucleotide ribosomal RNA is filed under the name Triticum aestivum (bread wheat). RNAcentral's name for it is "partial small subunit ribosomal RNA". The record is from RNAcentral. Lineage: Eukaryota; Viridiplantae; Streptophyta; Magnoliopsida; Poales; Poaceae.
AUGGCGCCGGGAGAAGCAAACACGGCCACCACCGGCGGCCCGCGCCGCCGCCGCGUGCUGGUCUUCCCUAUCCCGUACCAGGGCCACAUCAACCCCAUGUUCCAGCUCGCCGGCCUCCUCCACGAGCGCGGCUUUGCCAUCACCGUCUUCCACACCCACUUCAACGCCCCCGACCCGUCCCGCCACCCGACCUACGACUUCGUGCCCGUCCCCGACGGCUUGCCGGCGGGCAGCCCCGGCACGGUGGCGGCGACCGUCGAGCACAUCUUCGCCAUCAACAGCUCCUGCGAGGCGCCGUUCCGGGAGCGCCUGGCCGCCCUGCUGGAGGCUCCUGGCGGCAGGGACGAGGUCGCGUGCCUGGUCGCCGACGCGCACCUGCUGACCCUCAUGGACGUGGCGCGGCAGCGGGGCGUGCCGGCGCUGGCGCUGCGCACCGGCAGCGCCGCCUGCUUCCGCAAUUUCAUGGCCACCCCGAUGCUCUGCGACAAGGGCUACCUCCCGGCGAGCGCGGAGUCGCAGCUGGACGCGCCGGUGAGGGAGCUGCCGCCGUACCGCGUCCGGGACCUGAUGGCCGUCACCGGCAGCCGCCACGAGCACGAUCUGGUGUGCAAGCUGCUGGCCCGCGCCGUCGAGGCGGUGAGGACCUCGGCGGGGUUCAUCCUCAACACCUUCGACGCGCUGGAGGCCGCCGACCUGGCGGCGACCCGGCGAGACCUCGCCGGCGUGCCGGUGUUCGACGUCGGCCCGCUCCACAAGCUCUCCCCGGCGUCGUCCAGCAGCCUCCUGCAGCAGGACCGCUCCUGCCUCGACUGGCUGGACGCGCAGGCCCCGGCGUCCGUGCUGUACAUCAGCUUCGGCAGCCUGGCGAGCAUGAGCGGCGAGGACCUGGCCGAGGCGGCGUGGGGCGUGGCCAACAGCGGCCAGCCGUUCCUGUGGGCGCUCCGGCCGGGGCUCGCCCGCGGGGCCGCCCUGCCCGACGGGUUCGCGGCGGCGACCGAAGGCCGUGGACUGGUGGUGGGCUGGGCGCCGCAGGAGGAGGUGCUGGCGCACGCGGGCGUGGGCGGGUUCUGGACGCACGGCGGGUGGAACUCGGCGCUGGAGGGCGCGUGCGGGGGCGUGCCCAUGCUCUGCCGGCCCUGCUUCGGGGACCAGAUGGGCAACGCGAGGUACGUGGAGCACGUGUGGCGCGCGGGCAUCGCGCUGGACUGUGGCGGCGUGCUCGAGCGGGGCGCCGUGGAGGCGGCCGUCCGGCGGCUCAUGCGGAGCGAGGAGGGGGAUGAGAUGAGGGGGCGAGCCCAGGAGCUCCGGAGCAGAGCGGCGGAGGCCAUCGCCGAGGGUGGGUCGUCUCGCCACAGUGUCGAUAAGCUAGUGAACCACAUCAUGUCGCUGUGGAAGUGA